RNAcentral lists this ribosomal RNA (213 nucleotides) under Triticum aestivum (bread wheat). RNAcentral's name for it is "partial small subunit ribosomal RNA". The record is from RNAcentral. Lineage: Eukaryota; Viridiplantae; Streptophyta; Magnoliopsida; Poales; Poaceae.
AUGGACGGCGGGAAGAAGAGCCGGGACCCGUACAAGCUGCCGCAGGAGCGAAGGGACCGCAAGUCAGGCUCCGGGAUGAGCGGCGACGCCAAGAAGGGCGGCCGUGGCGGCAAGUUCACCUGGGAGGGCACCGACGGCUACACCGACGAGGAUCUUGACCUCAUCGGCAACAAGGGCAGGGGUACCGGCGCCUCCGACAACAAGAAGUCCUAG